ACUGUAAUUGUUAAUAGUUACUGCUUCCAAACUAUUUAGAUAUACAGGUUGAACCAUGAAUUGAGUGAUUUUACAUUUGUCAAGGGUUAAUUUUGCAUUACUGAAGAAGUAGAAGUUUGAGAAAAUGAAAAUGAAAGUUCUCAUUUAGUCAACAUCCCCUAAGACUUGGAGUUCAGAGACUAUGACCAUCUCUCUCCUCUACCCGGAACCAUUCGUAGUGCUCACAUAAUGAACCAACAGGAGAAGCAUAAUACCCUGAUGUGCCAUCCCAUGUAAUUAUUCUAUAGAACUACUUAAUACAUUGCUUAGGUGUCAGGCCUGUGCCUCUCAGGUGGGACAGAUGAGUUUAGGACAUUGAUCCACCAGAAACCUCCCAGCUCCAUGUAAUAUCAAAUGGUGUAAGCUCACCCAGAGAUCUCCAUCUCAGUGCUAACACCCACCUCCAUUCAACAACCAGCAAGCUACUGUGCUGGACACCCUCUACCAAACAACUAGCAAGACAGGAACACAGCUACACCCAUUGGCAGAGAGGCUGCCUGGAAUCAUAAUAAGGUCACAGACACCCCAAAACACACCACUGGAUGCGGUCCUGCCCAACAGAAACACAAGAUACAACCUCAACCACCUGAACACAGGCACCAGUCCCCU
Molecule: long non-coding RNA, 648 nt
Organism: Physeter macrocephalus (sperm whale)
Lineage: Eukaryota; Metazoa; Chordata; Mammalia; Artiodactyla; Physeteridae
Exons: 3
Source: RefSeq, a predicted model, not a curated record